Molecule: unclassified non-coding RNA, 240 nt
Filed under: uncultured fungus
Lineage: Eukaryota; Fungi
Description: sequence contains ITS2
Rfam family: 5.8S ribosomal RNA (bases 1-52)
Source: RNAcentral
AACGCACAUUGCGCCCUGUGGUAUUCCGCAGGGCAUGCCUGUUCGAGCGUCAUUACAACCACUCAAGCCUGGCUUGGUAUUGGGGUUUGCGGUUCCGCAGCCCCUAAAAUCAGUGGCGGUGCCGGUGUGGCUCUACGCGUAGUAAUUCUUCUCGCGAUGGAGUUCCCCUGGAGACCUGCCAGAACCCCCCAUUUUUUACAGGUUGACCUCGGAUCAGGUAGGGAUACCCGCUGAACUUAA